CAGCAGCAGCCGCGGUAAGACAGAGGAUGCAAGCGUUAUCCGGAAUGAUUGGGCGUAAAGCGUCUGUAGGUGGCUUUUCAAGUCCGCCGUCAAAUCCCAGGGCUCAACCCUGGACAGGCGGUGGAAACUACCAAGCUGGAGUACGGUGGGGGCAGAGGGAAUUUCCGGUGGAGCGGUGAAAUGCAUUGAGAUCGGAAAGAACACCAACAGCGAAAUCACUCUGCUAGGCCGACACUGACACUGAGAGACGAAAUCUAGGGGAGCAAAUGGGAUUAGAUACCCCGGUAGUCCCUGUCUCUUAUAC
This 304-nucleotide ribosomal RNA is filed under the name uncultured bacterium. RNAcentral's name for it is "partial 16S ribosomal RNA". It matches the Rfam family "Bacterial small subunit ribosomal RNA", at positions 506 to 807 of the family's 1533-position model. The record is from RNAcentral.